AAUGGGCGAGAGCCUGAUCCAGCCAUGCCGCGUGCAGGAAGACUGCCUAUGGGUUGUAAACUGCUUUUAUACAGGAAGAAAAGCCUUACGUGUAAGGUGAUGACGGUACUGUAAGAAUAAGGACCGGCUAACUCCGUGCCAGCAGCCGCGGUAAUACGGAGGGUCCGAGCGUUAUCCGGAAUUAUUGGGUUUAAAGGGUCCGUAGGCGGAUGAUUAAGUCAGGGGUGAAAGUUUGCAGCUCAACUGUAAAAUUGCCUUUGAUACUGGUCAUCUUGAGUUGUAUUGAAGUAGGCGGAAUAUGUAGUGUAGCGGUGAAAUGCAUAGAUAUUACAUAGAACACCAAUUGCGAAGGCAGCUUACUAAGUACUAACUGACGCUGAUGGACGAAAGCGUGGGUAGCGAACAGGAUU
This 410-nucleotide ribosomal RNA is filed under the name uncultured Flavobacteriia bacterium. RNAcentral's name for it is "bacterial SSU rRNA". It matches the Rfam family "Bacterial small subunit ribosomal RNA", at positions 370 to 779 of the family's 1533-position model. The record is from RNAcentral. Lineage: Bacteria; Pseudomonadati; Bacteroidota; Flavobacteriia.